AGGGUUUGAUCAUGGCUCAGAACGUACGCUGGCGGCACGCCUAACACAUGCAAGUCGAACGAAGUAGCAAUACUUAGUGGCAGACGGGUGAGUAACAUGUGGGUAUCUGCCCUUUGGCCUGGAAUAACACGAGGAAACUUGUGCUAAUACCGGAUAAGUCUUUACGGAGAAAGCUUUAUGCACCAUUGGAUGAGCCCGCACUUGAUUAGUUUGUUGGUGGGGUAAUGGCCUACCAAGACUGUGAUCAAUAGCUGAUUUGAGAGGAUGAUCAGCCACAUUGGGACUGAGACACGGCCCAAACUCCUACGGGAGGCAGCAGUGGGGAAUCUUGCACAAUGGAGGAAACUCUGAUGCAGCGAUGCCGCGUGAGUGAAGAAGGCCCUUGGGUUGUAAAGCUCUUUCGUCGGGGAAGAAAAUGACUGUACCCGAAUAAGAAGGUCCGGCUAACUUCGUGCCAGCAGCCGCGGUAAUACGAAGGGACCUAGCGUAGUUCGGAAUUACUGGGCUUAAAGAGUUCGUAGGUGGUUGAAAAAGUUAGUGGUGAAAUCCCAGAGCUUAACUCUGGAACUGCCAUUAAAACUUUUCAGCUAGAGUAUGAUAGAGGAAAGCAGAAUUUCUAGUGUAGAGGUGAAAUUCGUAGAUAUUAGAAAGAAUACCAAUUGCGAAGGCAGCUUUCUGGAUCAUUACUGACACUGAGGAACGAAAGCAUGGGUAGCGAAGAGGAUUAGAUACCCUCGUAGUCCAUGCCGUAAACGAUGUGUGUUAGACGUUGGAAAUUUAUUUUCAGUGUCGCAGCGAAAGCGAUAAACACACCGCCUGGGGAGUACGACCGCAAGGUUAAAACUCAAAUGAAUUGACGGGGACCCGCACAAGUAGUGGAGCAUGUGGUUUAAUUCGAAGAUACGCGCAGAACCUUACCAACACUUGACAUGUUCGUCGCGACUCUAAGAGAUUAGAGUUUUCGGUUCGGCCGGACGAAACACAGGUGCUGCAUGGCUGUCGUCAGCUCGUGUCGUGAGAUGUUGGGUUAAGUCCCGCAACGAGCGCAACCCUCACUUUUAGUUGCCAUCAUUAAGUUGGGCACUCUGAAAGAACUGCCAGUGAUAAGCUGGAGGAAGGUGGGGAUGACGUCAAGUCCUCAUGGCCCUUACGUGUUGGGCUACACACGUGCUACAAUGGUAUCUACAACAGGAAGCAAGACUGCGAGGUCAAGCAAAUCCUUAAAAGAUACCUCAGUUCGGAUUGCACUCUGCAACUCGAGUGCAUGAAGCUGGAAUUACUAGUAAUCGUGGAUCAGCGUGCCACGGUGAAUGCGUUCCCGGGUCUUGUACACACCGCCCGUCACACCAUGGGAGUGGGUUUUACCAGAAG
This 1371-nucleotide ribosomal RNA is filed under the name uncultured bacterium. RNAcentral's name for it is "bacterial SSU rRNA". It matches the Rfam family "Bacterial small subunit ribosomal RNA". The record is from RNAcentral.